AGCAGCCGCGGUAAUUCCAGCUCCAAUAGCGUAUAUUAAAGUUGUUGCAGUUAAAAAGCUCGUAGUUGGAUUUCUGGGAGGGUGCCAAUGUCCGCUUGAUGCGUGUGCAGCGGCGCCCUUCCAUCCUUCGGUUAACGUUUCACGGUAUUCAGUUACUGGUUGCGGGCUCCGAUAUUUUACCUUGAGAAAAUUAGAGUGUUUCAGGCAGGCUUGCGCCCGAAUACAUUAGCAUGGAAUAAUAGAAUAGGACUUCGGUCUCCUUUGUUGGUUUGAGGGACUGGAGUA
This 285-nucleotide ribosomal RNA is filed under the name uncultured Glomus. RNAcentral's name for it is "partial small subunit ribosomal RNA". It matches the Rfam family "Eukaryotic small subunit ribosomal RNA", at positions 569 to 864 of the family's 1831-position model. The record is from RNAcentral. Lineage: Eukaryota; Fungi; Glomeromycota; Glomeromycetes; Glomerales; Glomeraceae.